RNAcentral lists this ribosomal RNA (499 nucleotides) under uncultured bacterium. RNAcentral's name for it is "partial 16S ribosomal RNA". It matches the Rfam family "Bacterial small subunit ribosomal RNA", at positions 28 to 507 of the family's 1533-position model. The record is from RNAcentral.
GAUGAACGCUGGCGGCGUGCCUAAUACAUGCAAGUCGAGCGAACAGACGAGAGUGCUUGCACUCUCUGACGUUAGCGGCGGACGGGUGAGUAACACGUGGGUAACCUACCUAUAAGACUGGGAUAACUUCGGGAAACCGGAGCUAAUACCGGAUAAUAUUUAGCUUCGCAUGAAGCAAUAGUGAAAGACGGUUCUGCUGUCACUUAUAGAUGGACCCGCGGUGUAUUAGCUGGUUGGUGAGGUAACGGCUCACCAAGGCAACGAUACAUAGCCGACCUGAGAGGGUGAUCGGCCACACUGGGACUGAGACACGGCCCAGACUCCUACGGGAGGCAGCAGUAGGGAAUCUUCCGCAAUGGACGAAAGUCUGACGGAGCAAUGCCGCGUGAGUGAAGAAGGUUUUCGGAUCGUAAAACUCUGUUGUAAGGGAAGAGCAAGUACGUUAGUAACUGAACGUACCUUGACGGUACCUUACCAGAAAGCCACGGCUAACUACGUG